This 253-nucleotide ribosomal RNA is filed under the name uncultured bacterium. Its description in RNAcentral is "partial 16S ribosomal RNA". It matches the Rfam family "Bacterial small subunit ribosomal RNA", at positions 524 to 776 of the family's 1533-position model. The record is from RNAcentral.
UACGGGGGGGGCGAGCGUUGUUCGGAAUUACUGGGCGUAAAGGGCGCGUAGGCGGCGUGGUAAGUCACUUGUGAAAUCUCUGAGCUUAACUCAGAACGGCCAAGUGAUACUGCUGUGCUAGAGUGCAGAAGGGGCAAUCGGAAUUCUUGGUGUAGCGGUGAAAUGCGUAGAUAUCAAGAGGAACACCUGAGGUGAAGACGGGUUGCUGGGCUGACACUGACGCUGAGGCGCGAAAGCCAGGGGAGCAAACGGG